Equus caballus (horse) is the source of this 1705-nucleotide long non-coding RNA. NCBI's taxonomy places the organism in Eukaryota, Metazoa, Chordata, Mammalia, Perissodactyla, Equidae. The record is from Ensembl.
AGAAAUGGAGUCUCAAGGACUACAACACCAGAUGGUUAACAUUCUAAGACUGCCCCCACCCUUCAGCCCAUUUGCCCUGUAUACCUGCUUCAAAAUUUUGUAUGUUGGUGAGGAUGUGGAGAAAAGGGAACCCUUGUGCACUGUUGGUGGGAAUAUAAAUUGGUGCACCAGUUAUGGAAAACAGUAUGAAGCUUCCUUAAAAAAAUUGAAAAUAGAAUUACCAUAUGAUCCAGCAAUCCCACUUCUGGGUAUAUAUCCAAAGGAAACAAAAUCACUAUCUCGAAGAGAUAUCUGCAUCCUCAUACAAAAAAUUUUGCCAGGUGCAAAUUAAAAAAAAAAGUUAUGGAAGGGAGAACAGGUUAGAGGGGAGAUGUGGAUGGUAAAAUGUAGGCAGAGUUAGGUUAUAGUUAUAAUUCAGUUUCCAUAAUGUUCAGUAAUUAAAACUUGACUUUAUCUCAUCCUGUGUUUAAUAAUGCUUCAACACUAGAGGUUAAAUAUUUCACAAUGAACAAAGCUUAGCCAGGAAAAAACAUAUAUUUCCUCUCUCUAAAAAUGGCCACGUUUGCAUUCAUGUUUCCAUAUUCCUUUCUCUAACCAGGUAUCAGAUGUCAGCAAACUGACCUACUUAAAACAGUGUGGACAUAGGAUCAAAAGCAAACAUACCAGUACAGUCUGGAGCGGUAGGAUUUGUGGACUAAACUAAACCACAGUGGGAAUGGGCUGGGCCGUCCCACGGAGUGGCUUCUGGCAGUGGAAGGGUAACUUUAGGCCUUUUAGGUUUCUUGCCUUUGUGCAUCCUGAAAGCAGGCACUGGGGAGGUAAAUCUAUAAUUAGGGGGUGACUGAAAAUAGAUAUUUGUGACCUGACAGACUGCACCUGUCUGUAUCCACAAACACUGAAAACUCUUUCCAGUCCUUUGUCUCGGGCUGUGGAUGGUGUAUCGAAGGUCUCGACUCUGCAGAGCCGCUGUGGUUCAGGUUCCGCCGCCAGAGAGGAGGAAAGGUGUGUGGCACUCAGAGCAGCACCUCCCUUGGGACAUUAGCUUUAUUUUGAAAUUGCAUCUAAAAAUGAUACAUCUUAAUAGCUGUAGCCUUCUUUGUCCUAAAAGCAAUCAUCUUGGAUUCAAUUUGACUUCGGCUCACCUUCUUACACAAGUGCUGAGUGUUCAGAACCUCAGGGUCAAGUUUCCAACUUAACAAUAGGAAGUGGAAUUCUUUGUGCAAAGUGAAUAAAAGCUACAGGACAACACUCAACAGUCCUUAAAGUUCAUAAUAGCCCAGAAAAGUCAAAGCUCUUUAACAGGAGACUGGUAUUUGGGAGUGUGUUACAGAUUUAAAAUUCCAUCUACUGGGGCCGGCCCCGUGGCUAAAUGGUUAAGUUCGCGCACUCUGCAUCAGAGGUCCAGGGUUUCGCCAGUUCGGAUCCUGGGCGUGGACAUGGCUCUGCUCAUCAGGCCAUGCUGAGGUGGCAUCCCACAUAACACAACCAGAAGCACUCACAACUCGAAUAUACAACUAUGUGCUGGGGGGCUUUGGUGAGAAGAAGAAAAAAUAAAAUAAAAUUCCACCUACAGUCAUUCUAGGUGGUAGUCAGUAUUGACUGUAUUUACAGCCCUCACAGCAGACAGUGUCUGCAAAUGUCAGGUGUGUGCUUAGGAAAUGUCAUUCUCUUACCUGCUGCUGUGGGGUGGGCCCUCAUCAUGCUC